This is a long non-coding RNA of Ruditapes philippinarum (Manila clam), 1065 nucleotides long. RefSeq lists it as uncharacterized. Lineage: Eukaryota; Metazoa; Mollusca; Bivalvia; Venerida; Veneridae. The record is from RefSeq and is a predicted model, not a curated record. The transcript is spliced from 3 exons.
CAGAAUUAUAUGUAUGAUAAGAGUAGAAAAGAUAUUUAUAUACGAAAAAGUUUAAAAAAUAUUAUAAACAAUUGAUAAUUGAUAAAAUGUCCAGGUGUUUCAUUUCCUGUAAAACGUGUAUUGUGCAUGCGCAUUGAACACUUCCUGUGACAGGUAUAUUUUUUGUAACAGGUACUUGCUGACAUCGGUAUGGCUUGGUGGUCGUGACGUGUCGGGAAUUUCAAAUCGUUGAUAUAUGAACAACAAGACAACUGUCAUAAAAUGCAUAGGAUAAGAAUUCCAAUGAAAGAUGUUCUCUAGUGUACUUCGUUGUGUCCCGCUGUGCAAAAUCGUCGCUUCGACAUCGCUGGUCUUAGGCGCCAAAUCAACCGUUGUCGUAUAACGUAGGAAGAACUCACGGAUGUUACAUACUUUUAAUAUACAAAUACAAACACACAAGUGAACGAGUGGAAUACCAAAACUGAACUCCCACUCUGACAUUUGAGAAUAGUAUAUAUAAUAUCAACCUGUCCUAAGGACAUUUUAUAAUGUAUAUAAAUACACACGUUUUAGAGUUACGUAUAUUUAUCAUCCUGACAUAAGGUCAGUCCGUAUGCAUCUUGCACUAUAAUACUCAUAAAUCAUGUCAUGUUCCAUAGUGCACAUUAUGAAAUAAAAACCUUAUUAUAUGUAUAUACAUGUUGACUUGUCAUUCUUUUUGAAUAUAGCGUGUAUGACUCAUUAGCCUGUGCAACCAGCUAUACGACAAUUCCUCCAUUACUUAUAAAAAAAAAUAUUUAAAAAAAAAGUAUUGAACAAGUUAUUAUUUAAUAUCAAACAUUUCAAACUCGUUCUAACAAAUUAUAAAAAUCUAAAAUCUAAAAUCAACUUGACAUCUGUUUUACCCUUAAGGUAAUAUCCGGUCAGAGAUGUCCGGUCAGAGAUGUUAUCUAAUGACUUUUUAUUAGUUUAUUUUUAAAAGAAAAAAUCACCUUAAGUCAUAUAAUCUCUGAUUGGUCAAUUGUAUAUCGUGCGUAACCUUUUUGUUUGAAUUCAUUUUAAUAGAAAAAUUUGGAUAGAUACAAU